ACGGACGUGGCGGAAUUGGUAGACGCGCUGGACUUAGGAUCCAGUACCGCAAGGUGUGGGGGUUCGAGUCCCCCCGUCCGUACCA
RNAcentral lists this transfer RNA (85 nucleotides) under Flavobacteriales bacterium. Its description in RNAcentral is "tRNA-Leu". It matches the Rfam family "tRNA". From Rfam's summary of the family: Transfer RNA (tRNA) molecules are approximately 80 nucleotides in length. Their secondary structure includes four short double-helical elements and three loops (D, anti-codon, and T loops). Lineage: Bacteria; Pseudomonadati; Bacteroidota; Flavobacteriia; Flavobacteriales. The record is from RNAcentral.